RNAcentral lists this ribosomal RNA (254 nucleotides) under uncultured Acinetobacter sp. RNAcentral describes it as "partial 16S ribosomal RNA". It matches the Rfam family "Bacterial small subunit ribosomal RNA", at positions 524 to 776 of the family's 1533-position model. The record is from RNAcentral. Lineage: Bacteria; Pseudomonadati; Pseudomonadota; Gammaproteobacteria; Moraxellales; Moraxellaceae.
UACGUAGGGGGGCUAGCGUUAUCCGGAUUUACUGGGCGUAAAGCGUACGUAGGCGGCUUUUUAAGUCGGAUGUGAAAUCCCUGAGCUUAACUUAGGAAUUGCAUUCGAUACUGGGAAGCUAGAGUAUGGGAGAGGAUGGUAGAAUUCCAGGUGUAGCGGUGAAAUGCGUAGAGAUCUGGAGGAAUACCGAUGGCGAAGGCAGCCAUCUGGCCUAAUACUGACGCUGAGGUACGAAAGCAUGGGGAGCAAACAGG